RNAcentral lists this ribosomal RNA (885 nucleotides) under uncultured Lactobacillus sp. RNAcentral describes it as "bacterial SSU rRNA". It matches the Rfam family "Bacterial small subunit ribosomal RNA", at positions 610 to 1495 of the family's 1533-position model. Lineage: Bacteria; Bacillati; Bacillota; Bacilli; Lactobacillales; Lactobacillaceae. The record is from RNAcentral.
UAACCGGAGAAGUGCAUCGGAAACCGGGAGACUUGAGUGCAGAAGAGGACAGUGGAACUCCAUGUGUAGCGGUGAAAUGCGUAGAUAUAUGGAAGAACACCAGUGGCGAAGGCGGCUGUCUGGUCUGUAACUGACGCUGAGGCUCGAAAGCAUGGGUAGCGAACAGGAUUAGAUACCCUGGUAGUCCAUGCCGUAAACGAUGAGUGCUAAGUGUUGGAGGGUUUCCGCCCUUCAGUGCUGCAGCUAACGCAUUAAGCACUCCGCCUGGGGAGUACGACCGCAAGGUUGAAACUCAAAGGAAUUGACGGGGGCCCGCACAAGCGGUGGAGCAUGUGGUUUAAUUCGAUGCUACGCGAAGAACCUUACCAGGUCUUGACAUCUUCUGCCAACCUAAGAGAUUAGGCGUUCCCUUCGGGGACAGAAUGACAGGUGGUGCAUGGUUGUCGUCAGCUCGUGUCGUGAGAUGUUGGGUUAAGUCCCGCAACGAGCGCAACCCUUAUUGUUAGUUGCCAGCAUUCAGUUGGGCACUCUAGCAAGACUGCCGGUGACAAACCGGAGGAAGGUGGGGAUGACGUCAAAUCAUCAUGCCCCUUAUGACCUGGGCUACACACGUGCUACAAUGGACGGUACAACGAGUCGCGAAACCGCGAGGUCAAGCUAAUCUCUUAAAGCCGUUCCCAGUUCGGAUUGUAGGCUGCAACUCGCCUACAUGAAGUUGGAAUCGCUAGUAAUCGUGGAUCAGCAUGCCACGGUGAAUACGUUCCCGGGCCUUGUACACACCGCCCGUCACACCAUGGGAGUUUGUAACACCCAAAGCCGGUGAGGUAACCUUCGGGGACCAGCCGUCUAAGGUGGGACAGAUGAUUAGGGUGAAGUCGUAACAAG